CCUACGGGUGGCUGCAGUGGGGAAUAUUGGACAAUGGGGGAAAGCCUUAUCCAGCGAUGCCGCGUGUGGGAUGACGGUUUUCGGAUUGUAAACCUCUGUCAGUGGGGACGAUAAUGACGGUACCAACGGAGGAAGCUACGGCGAACUACGUGCCAGUAGCCGCGGUCUUACGUAGUUGGAGAGCGUUGUCCGGAAUUACUGGGUGUAAAGGGAGCGUAGGCGGGUUGGCAAGUCAGAAGUGAAGAUUAUGGGCUCAACUCAUAACCUGCUUUUGAGACUGAUAUUCUUGAGUGAAGUAGAGGCAAGCGGAAUUCCUAGUGUAGCAGUGAAAUGCGUAGAUAUUAGGAGGAACACCAGUGGCGAAGGCGGCUUGCUGGGCUUUUACUGACGCUGAGGCUCGAAAGCGUGGGGAGCAAACAGGAUUAGAUACCCCUGUAGUC
Molecule: ribosomal RNA, 440 nt
Filed under: uncultured bacterium
Lineage: Bacteria
Description: partial 16S ribosomal RNA
Rfam family: Bacterial small subunit ribosomal RNA
Source: RNAcentral